GUGCUCACUUCAGCAGCACAUAUGCUAAAAUGGGAACAAUACAGAGAAGAUUAGUACGGCCCUGAGCAAGGAUGACACGCAAAUUGUGAAGCGUUCCAUAUUUUU
Small nuclear RNA from Myotis myotis, 105 nucleotides. The record is from RefSeq and is a predicted model, not a curated record. NCBI's taxonomy places the organism in Eukaryota, Metazoa, Chordata, Mammalia, Chiroptera, Vespertilionidae.